GGUUGAUCCUGCCAGUAGUCAUAUGCUUGUCUCAAAGAUUAAGCCAUGCAUGUCUAAGUAUAAGCAAUUAUACAGCGAAACUGCGAAUGGCUCAUUAUAUCAGUUAUAAUUUAUUUGAUAGUACCUUACUACUUGGAUAACCGUGGUAAUUCUAGAGCUAAUACAUGCACAAAAGCCCGACUCUUUGGAGGGCUGUGUUUAUUAGAUAAAAAACCAAUGCCUUCGGGCCCUUGGUGAUUCAUAAUAACCGUCGGAUCGCAUGACCUUGUGUCGGCGACGUAUCAUUCAAAUUU
This 293-nucleotide ribosomal RNA is filed under the name uncultured eukaryote. RNAcentral's name for it is "partial 18S ribosomal RNA". It matches the Rfam family "Eukaryotic small subunit ribosomal RNA", at positions 6 to 306 of the family's 1831-position model. The record is from RNAcentral.